This 460-nucleotide ribosomal RNA is filed under the name uncultured bacterium. Its description in RNAcentral is "partial 16S ribosomal RNA". It matches the Rfam family "Bacterial small subunit ribosomal RNA", at positions 338 to 795 of the family's 1533-position model. The record is from RNAcentral.
CCUACGGGAGGCAGCAGUGAGGAAUAUUUGUCAAUGGACGAGAGUCUGAACCAGCCAAGUAGCGUGAAGGAUGACUGCCCUAUGGGUUGUAAACUUCUUUUAUAUGGGAAUAAAAUGUUCCACGUGUGGGAUUUUGUAUGUACCAUAUGAAUAAUGAUCGGCUAACUCCGUGCCAGCAGCCGCGGUAAUACGGAGGAUCCGAGCGUUAUCCGGAUUUAUUGGGUUUAAAGGGAGCGUAGGUGGAUUGUUAAGUCAGUUGUGAAAGUUUGCGGCUCAAACGUAAAAUUGCAGUUGAAACUGGCAGUCUUGAGUACAGUAGAGGUGGGCGGAAUUCGUGGUGUAGCGGUGAAAUGCUUAGAUAUCACGAAGAACUCCGAUUGCGAAGGCAGUUCACUGGACUGCAACUGACACUGAGGCUCGAAAGUGUGGGUAUCAAACAGGAUUAGAUACCCCUGUAGUC